UACGUAGGGUGCAAGCGUUGUCCGGAAUUAUUGGGCGUAAAGAGCUCGUAGGCGGUUCGUCACGUCGGCUGUGAAAUCCCGAGGCUCAACCUCGGGUCUGCAGUCGAUACGGGCGGACUGGAGUACUGCAGGGGAGACUGGAAUUCCUGGUGUAGCGGUGAAAUGCGCAGAUAUCAGGAGGAACACCGGUGGCGAAGGCGGGUCUCUGGGCCGAUACUGACGCUGAGGAGCGAAAGCGUGGGGAGCAAACGGG
RNAcentral lists this ribosomal RNA (253 nucleotides) under uncultured bacterium. Its description in RNAcentral is "partial 16S ribosomal RNA". It matches the Rfam family "Bacterial small subunit ribosomal RNA", at positions 524 to 776 of the family's 1533-position model. The record is from RNAcentral.